UGCUGCCAGCUCCCAGUUAAGCUUGCUGCAAUUUCAGAUAUCAGCAUGCUCCACAGGACGAUGUUGAUUCGGUGUUUCUUGAUUCUCCAGGGGCAUGUACUGAGCCAUGAUCGCACGAAUCUCUGAAUCCAUGUAACUCUGGUUUGGCAUGAUGGUAACACAAAGUAUGAGUUAGCCGUAGAUUAUUGCAAACAUAAGAAGAACUAGAAAAUUACGUGAUCAUUCGGAGAUGGAUUAGAAUAGAAGGAUGAGUUGUUUACCCGUAGCCGAUAUUUGUAUACGGCAUAUGCUCCAAUUCCAGCCAAAGCGAGGCCAAAGAAAAUAACCCAAAGGAAGCCCCAGCCCACUGACGAAGAAGCAACUUUGCCUGCACAGUGAUUGCGAAAGGCGUCACAUAAAACGUUCUAAAGCGAAUGAAAUUAU
This 423-nucleotide small RNA is filed under the name Oryza sativa Japonica Group (Japanese rice). RNAcentral describes it as "sRNA Os07g0680150". The record is from RNAcentral. Lineage: Eukaryota; Viridiplantae; Streptophyta; Magnoliopsida; Poales; Poaceae.